This 253-nucleotide ribosomal RNA is filed under the name uncultured bacterium. RNAcentral describes it as "partial 16S ribosomal RNA". It matches the Rfam family "Bacterial small subunit ribosomal RNA", at positions 524 to 776 of the family's 1533-position model. RNAcentral also lists the same sequence under 1 other name. The record is from RNAcentral.
UACAGAGGGUGCGAGCGUUGUCCGGAAUCACUGGGCGUAAAGGGCGCGUAGGCGGCUGGCUAAGCGGGUGGUGAAAGCCCGGGGCUCAACCCCGGGUCGGCCAUGCGAACUGGUCAGCUGGAGCACGGUAGAGGCACAUGGAAUUCCGGGUGUAGCGGUGGAAUGCGUAGAGAUCCGGAAGAACACCGGUGGCGAAGGCGGUGUGCUGGGCCGUAGCUGACGCUGAGGCGCGACAGCGUGGGGAGCAAACAGG